UACGGGGGGGGCAAGCGUUGUUCGGAAUUACUGGGCGUAAAGGGCUCGUAGGCGGCCAACUAAGUCGGAUGUGAAAUCCCUCGGCUUAACCAAGGAAGUGCAUCCGAAACUGCAGUGCUUGAGUACUUAAGAGGAUCGCGGAAUUCCCGGUGUAGAGGUGAAAUUCGUAGAUAUCGGGAGGAACACCAGUGGCGAAGGCGGCGAUCUGGGAAGAUACUGACGCUGAGGUGCGAAAGCGUGGGGAGCAAACAGG
This 253-nucleotide ribosomal RNA is filed under the name uncultured bacterium. RNAcentral describes it as "partial 16S ribosomal RNA". It matches the Rfam family "Bacterial small subunit ribosomal RNA", at positions 524 to 776 of the family's 1533-position model. The record is from RNAcentral.